AGUGAACGCUGGCGGUAGGCCUAACACAUGCAAGUCGAACGGCAGCACAGUAAGAGCUUGCUCUUACGGGUGGCGAGUGGCGGACGGGUGAGGAAUACAUCGGAAUCUACUUUUUCGUGGGGGAUAACGUAGGGAAACUUACGCUAAUACCGCAUACGACCUACGGGUGAAAGCAGGGGAUCUUCGGACCUUGCGCGAUUGAAUGAGCCGAUGUCGGAUUAGCUAGUUGGCGGGGUAAAGGCCCACCAAGGCGACGAUGCGUAGCUGGUCUGAGAGGAUGAUCAGCCGCACUGGAGCUGAGACACGGUCCAGACUCCGACGGGAGGCAGCAGUGGGAAAUAUUGGACAAGGGGCGCAAGCCUGAUCCAGCCAUACCGCGUGGGUGAAGAAGGCCUUCGGGUUGUAAAGCCCUUUUGUUGGGAAAGAACAGCAGCAGGUUAAUCCCCCGCUGUUCUGCCGGUACCCAAAGAAUAGGCACCGGCUACCUUCGG
Molecule: ribosomal RNA, 491 nt
Filed under: uncultured bacterium
Lineage: Bacteria
Description: partial 16S ribosomal RNA
Rfam family: Bacterial small subunit ribosomal RNA
Source: RNAcentral